This 253-nucleotide ribosomal RNA is filed under the name uncultured bacterium. Its description in RNAcentral is "partial 16S ribosomal RNA". It matches the Rfam family "Bacterial small subunit ribosomal RNA", at positions 524 to 776 of the family's 1533-position model. The record is from RNAcentral.
UACGAAGGGGGCUAGCGUUGUUCGGAAUUACUGGGCGUAAAGGGCGCGUAGGCGGCGCUUCAAGUCAGAUGUGAAAGCCCCGGGCUCAACCUGGGAACAGCAUUUGAGACUGGAGUGCUUGAGUUCCGGAGAGGUGGGUGGAAUUCCCAGUGUAGAGGUGAAAUUCGUAGAUAUUGGGAAGAACACCGGUGGCGAAGGCGGCCCACUGGACGGAUACUGACGCUGAGGCGCGAAAGCGUGGGGAGCAAACAGG